MicroRNA precursor from Macleaya cordata, 90 nucleotides. It matches the Rfam family "mir-156 microRNA precursor family". From Rfam's summary of the family: This family represents the plant microRNA (miRNA) precursor mir-156. Animal miRNAs are transcribed as ~70nt precursors and subsequently processed by the Dicer enzyme to give a ~22nt product. NCBI's taxonomy places the organism in Eukaryota, Viridiplantae, Streptophyta, Magnoliopsida, Ranunculales, Papaveraceae. The record is from Rfam.
GUGACAGAAGAGAGUGAGCACACAUGGUUUUUUUCUUGCAUGAAGGUCGUCUGUGCUCGAAGCUCUGUGUGCUCGCUCUCUAUCUGUCAC